ACUGGAGAUGUCAUUGGUCAGGAAACACAGUCCCUCUGCUAAGCUGGAAAAGGGGAUAUUUAUUUAUUUUUGUGAUUGCAGAGUGUCCUUAUCUCUUUCCUGUUUCAGACAUAGUUAUGGAGUAAUCUCGUCUCCAAUUUGUUCUAUCAUAGGUAACGGAGUAGCCUUGUCUGGUUAUUGCUGAUACUGUAAAAAAGUGUUUAUAUUCCAUCAUCCUGACUUUUAGCUUCCAGCUAUUAGGACGAUUUUUUUCACGUUUUCACACCAACCUCACAGACUUAUUGUGAAGAUCAAAUAUAAUUAUGUAACAGCAUAUGAAAAUUCAGAGAAAUGUUUUUGGCAUGUAGCAACAUCUCAUGCAGAUUUUCUGGUUGGUCUUCACAUGGUUGCUCACAGGCUAUCGUGUGGCCCUGGAGUGUGGGGCCAUGGAGUCCUCUGCUGGAUCCUUGGCAUUUGACAGACAGAAAGGGAAAGAGAAUGAGAAAGAGAGGAGAACCCAUGGGAGGUUUUCCUGGAUCAAGCUUCAAAGUUGUGAACUGGCUAGUUACAAGAAUUCUCACAUUUCAUUUUCCAGAUCUCAGCCACAUGACCGUAUCUGAUUGUAAGGGAGGCUAGGAAAUGUAGUUUAGAGUGAAUGUUUGUGUCCCCUCAAAACUCAUAUGUUGAAACCUAGUCCCCAGUGUGAUGUUAUUUGGAGGUGGGGACUUAGAGGUGAGAAGUCCCAUGAAUGGGAUCAGUGUCCUUAUAAGUGAGACCCCAGAGAGCUCCCUGGCCCCCUCCAGCGUGUGAGGACACAGCCAUAUCAAAUCUGCCAGCGCCUUGAUCUUGGACUUCCCAGCCUCCAGAAUGGUGAGAAAUAAAUGUCUGUUGUUUAAGCC
Molecule: long non-coding RNA, 878 nt
Filed under: Equus caballus (horse)
Lineage: Eukaryota; Metazoa; Chordata; Mammalia; Perissodactyla; Equidae
Description: lncRNA (ENSECAG00000054337.1)
Source: RNAcentral